AGAGUUUGAUCCUGGCUCAGGAUGAACGCUGGCGGCGUGCCUAAUACAUGCAAGUCGAGCGAACGUCAUAGAAGCUUGCUUCUAUGACGUUAGCGGCGGACGGGUGAGUAACACGUGGGCAACCUGCCUGUAAGACUGGGAUAACUUCGGGAAACCGAAGCUAAUACCGGAUAGGAUCUUCUCCUUCAUGGGAGAUGAUUGAAAGAUGGUUUCGGCUAUCACUUACAGAUGGGCCCGCGGUGCAUUAGCUAGUUGGUGAGGUAACGGCUCACCAAGGCAACGAUGCAUAGCCGACCUGAGAGGGUGAUCGGCCACACUGGGACUGAGACACGGCCCAGACUCCUACGGGAGGCAGCAGUAGGGAAUCUUCCGCAAUGGACGAAAGUCUGACGGAGCAACGCCGCGUGAGUGAUGAAGGCUUUCGGGUCGUAAAACUCUGUUGUUAGGGAAGAACAAGUACGAGAGUAACUGCUCGUACCUUGACGGUACCUAACCAGAAAGCCACGGCUAACUACGUGCCAGCAGCCGCGGUAAUACGUAGGUGGCAAGCGUUAUCCGGAAUUAUUGGGCGUAAAGCGCGCGCAGGCGGUUUCUUAAGUCUGAUGUGAAAGCCCACGGCUCAACCGUGGAGGGUCAUUGG
RNAcentral lists this ribosomal RNA (640 nucleotides) under uncultured marine bacterium. RNAcentral's name for it is "bacterial SSU rRNA". It matches the Rfam family "Bacterial small subunit ribosomal RNA", at positions 8 to 629 of the family's 1533-position model. The record is from RNAcentral.